ACGGCGAGUGAACCGGGAUGAGCUCAAAUUUAAAAUCUGGCGUCUUUCAGGCGUCCGAGUUGUAAUCUAUAGAGGCGUUUUCCGCGCCGGACCGCGUCCAAGUCCCUUGGAAUAGGGUAUCAAAGAGGGUGACAAUCCCGUACUUGACGCGACAACCGGUGCUCUGUGAUACGUUCUCAACGAGUCGAGUUGUUUGGGAAUGCAGCUCUAAACGGGUGGUAAAUUCCAUCUAAGGCUAAAUAUUGGCGAGAGACCGAUAGCGAACAAGUACCGUGAGGGAAAGAUGAAAAGCACUUUGGAAAGAGAGUUAAACAGCACGUGAAAUUGUUAAAAGGGAAACGAUUGAAGUCAGUCGUGUGGGAGGUAUUCAGCCGUCUCUGACGGUGUAUUUGCCUCUCACGGGUCAACAUCAGUUUGAUCCGGUGGAAAAAGGCGGGAGGAAGGUGGCACCCUCGGGUGUGUUAUAGCCUCCUGUCAUAUGCAUCGGGUCAGACUGAGGAACGCAGCUCGCAGCAAUGCCGGGGUUCGCCCACGUACGAGCUUAGGAUGUUGACAUAAUGGCUUUAAACGACCCGUCUUGAACCA
This 585-nucleotide ribosomal RNA is filed under the name Vishniacozyma sp. CFC-2020b. RNAcentral describes it as "partial large subunit ribosomal RNA". It matches the Rfam family "Eukaryotic large subunit ribosomal RNA", at positions 86 to 661 of the family's 3401-position model. Lineage: Eukaryota; Fungi; Basidiomycota; Tremellomycetes; Tremellales; Bulleribasidiaceae. The record is from RNAcentral.